UUGUACUAAGAGUUUGAUCGUGGCUCAGGAUAAACGCUGGCGGUAUGCCUAAGACAUGCAAGUCGAACGGAAUUCAUGCGUAGCACAGAGAACUUAAUUUAAAAUUUUUAAUUUUUAAUUUUUAAUCAAUUCAAAAUAUCUAAUGCUUUAAUUUUUAAAUUAAUUCAUUAAAAAUUGAUUAUAAAUUAUAAAUUUUGAAUUAAAAAUUAUAUUUUGUGUGCUAUGCACGAGUUUAGUGGCAAACGGGUGAGUAUAAAAUACGAAUGUACUUUGAAGCGGAGGAUAGCCCACCGAAAGGCGGGGUAAUACUCUAUAAUGUCUCCGGACUAAAGACGCAAGUCACUUCGAAAGCAGCGUAUUCGCUACCAGCUAGUUGGCGGGGUAAAAGCCCACCAAGGCUAUGACGGCUACCGGCUCUUAGCGGAGAGUCCGGCACAAUGGGACUGAGACACGGCCCAUACACCUACGGGUGGCAGCAGUUAGGAAUUUUGCGCNNNNNNNNNNNNNNNNNNNCAUGAAGGCGGGAAGAAUAAGCAGCUACAAACUAUGUGCCAGCAGUCGCGGUAAUACAUAGGCUGCAAGCGUUAUCCGGAUUUAUUGGGCGUAAAGAGUCUGUAGGCGGUUUCUCAAGUCUUGUUUCAAAGACCUCGACUUAAUCGAGGAAAGGGGCAAGAUACUGGGUUACUAGAGUGAUAUCGGGGUUACUGGAAUUUGUAGUGUAGGGGUUAAAUCCGUGGAUACUACAAAGAACACCAAGCGCGAAGGCGGGUAACUAGGUAUAUACUGACGCUGAGAGACGAAAGCUAGGGGAGCAAAUCAGAUUAGAGACCUGAGUAGUCCUAGCCGUAAACGAUGUCUGUUAAUUUUUCCACUUUUGUGGGGAGAUGUAAGCUAACGCGUUAAACAGACCGCCUG
This 915-nucleotide ribosomal RNA is filed under the name Candidatus Shapirobacteria bacterium CG_4_8_14_3_um_filter_35_11. RNAcentral's name for it is "partial 16S ribosomal RNA". It matches the Rfam family "Bacterial small subunit ribosomal RNA", at positions 1 to 875 of the family's 1533-position model. Lineage: Bacteria; Candidatus Shapironibacteriota. The record is from RNAcentral.